RNAcentral lists this ribosomal RNA (317 nucleotides) under uncultured eukaryote. Its description in RNAcentral is "partial 18S ribosomal RNA". It matches the Rfam family "Eukaryotic small subunit ribosomal RNA", at positions 1470 to 1796 of the family's 1831-position model. The record is from RNAcentral.
CCCUUAGAUGUUCUGGGCCGCACGCGCGCUACACUGAUCAGUGCAACAAGCAUCCGUCCUUGGCCGACAGGCCCGGGCAAUCUUUGAACGCUGAUCGUGAUGGGGAUAGACUUUUGCAAUUUUUGGUCUUCAACGAGGAAUUCCCAGUAAACGCAAGUCAUCAACUUGCAUUGAUUACGUCCCUGCCCUUUGUACACACCGCCCGUCGCACCUACCGAUUGAAUGGUCCGGUGAAGCCUCCGGAUUGGCGUGCACCCUCGGGUGCUGCCGAGAAGUUGGCUAAACCUUACCAUUUAGAGGAAGGUGAAGUCGUAACA